Long non-coding RNA from Erigeron canadensis, 493 nucleotides. RefSeq lists it as uncharacterized. The transcript has 2 exons. Lineage: Eukaryota; Viridiplantae; Streptophyta; Magnoliopsida; Asterales; Asteraceae. The record is from RefSeq and is a predicted model, not a curated record.
CAAAGUUGUCUUAUGUCCUUGAGAAUUUUAUAAGAAAAGUGUAUUAUGUAGUUAGCCAAACACAACAAUAUAUGUAUGUUAUGGGUUAGUUGGAAAGUUAAGUAAGCUAUAUAAGUAAUCAUGUAUUUUGCAAUUGUAAUAGGUUUUGAGUUCGAGUUAUCUUAAGGAUUAUUUGCAAGUUCUCGUUAAUAAGGUUCAAGUGGAUCAAAGGAUAAAUCCAAGUUGGAGUAAUUAGCUAGAGAUUUUGAGGUGAAGGUAGUGUAAUUUUGGUGAUAGUUAAUCCCUUUUGUGAACCAAGCUCUUGAACAAAUGUUUGAAAGUGUUAUUUUUUGUGUUGUGAAAUGGUCAAAUAUAGUUUGUAAAGAUGUAGUAUGUAAUAUGUUUUAGUUAUGAUCAUUUGACUAGUUUAUAUGAUUAGUCAAAUGAUAGUUGGCAUGUAAAAUUAUGUUUUAGUUAUGUUUGGUAAGUUGGAGGUAAAUUUUAGUUUGAAAAA